GAGUUUGAUCCUGGCUCAGGAUGAACGCUGGCGGCGUGCCUAAUACAUGCAAGUCGAACGAGGUACUUUUGUAGUAAUACGAAAGUGUCCUAGUGGCGAACGGGUGAGUAACGCGUUGGUGACCUACCCCAAAGUGUGGGAUAACAGUUCGAAAGGAUUGCUAAUACCGCAUGUGGUCUUCGGAUUUAGAAACUGAUGACUAAAGGAGUAAUCCGCUUUGGGAGGGACCUGCGUCCCAUCAGCUAGUUGGUGAGGUAAUGGCUCACCAAGGCUACGACGGGUAGGGGACCUGAGAGGGUGACCCCCCACAAUGGAACUGAAACACGGUCCAUACACCUACGGGUGGCAGCAGUAGGGAAUAUUGCACAAUGGGCGAAAGCCUGAUGCAGCAACGCCGCGUGUGCGAUGAAGGCCUUCGGGUCGUAAAGCACUUUUCUGAGGGAUGAGCAAGGACAGUACCUCAGGAAUAAGUCUCGGCUAACUACGUGCCAGCAGCCGCGGUAAUCCC
RNAcentral lists this ribosomal RNA (508 nucleotides) under uncultured bacterium. Its description in RNAcentral is "bacterial SSU rRNA". It matches the Rfam family "Bacterial small subunit ribosomal RNA", at positions 9 to 527 of the family's 1533-position model. The record is from RNAcentral.